GAAAUUUAUUAUGAAAUAUUGGUUAAUUUUGUUUGCAGUCAAAAUUCUUCCAUUAGACUUUGGAGAAUUUUCAUAAAAAACAAUUUACUAUCUACUUUUAAAAUGGAAAAAAUGUCAAAAAAAUUCGCGAACUUUCCAAUUUGGGAUGAAAAAAGCAUGUACUUUCAAGAAGACAAUUAAAUCCUAAAGUUUAGUUUGACUUUUGAUAAAAUGAUCAAGUUUUGUUGACUUGACCAUUUAGGGCAUGUCGUUAAGUUUCCGUCAACCAAACAAUCACGGAGUUAACUUUCCGUUAGAAUCUCUCUUAUAUCAAAACGACAGGUCGUUUUGAAAAUUAGAAAAUAAGAAAGAAAAACAGCAUUUCAAGUGAAACGAAAUGCUGACCUUCUGAACUAAUAGAAGAUAUUCAACCAUUGAGCUGCAUUAACAUUUUAAUAUCUUACAGACAUAGUAUAUAUAUAU
This 462-nucleotide small RNA is filed under the name Arabidopsis thaliana (thale cress). RNAcentral describes it as "ATSL119730". The record is from RNAcentral. Lineage: Eukaryota; Viridiplantae; Streptophyta; Magnoliopsida; Brassicales; Brassicaceae.